This is a long non-coding RNA of Dalotia coriaria, 242 nucleotides long. RefSeq lists it as uncharacterized. The transcript is spliced from 3 exons. The record is from RefSeq and is a predicted model, not a curated record. Lineage: Eukaryota; Metazoa; Arthropoda; Insecta; Coleoptera; Staphylinidae.
GUUGUCCUUGUGCUGUAAAUAUGGCUGCAAGUAAUCGUGCAGAACUUCAGAAGUCUGUGAAUAUGUAGAAAUAUAUUAUUGUUGUCUUAGUAUGUUCAAGUAUACACAAAGAUCUGGUGUUAUCCGCGUAUGACUUGGGAUUUUUCACCUGAGUCUGACAUCGUAGAAGGACCAUUCUUGCAUCAGAUUGGAUAUUGCACCUGAGUCUGACAUUGUAGAAGGACCAUUUUUAUUUCAGAUUG